GAGUUUGAUCCUGGCUCAGGAUGAACGCUAGCGGGAGGCUUAACACAUGCAAGUCGAGGGGUAAAUGGCAGCAAUGCUAUGAGACCGGCGAACGGGUGAGUAAUGUAUCGGAACGUGCCCAGUAGUGGGGGAUAACUACUCGAAAGAGUGGCUAAUACCGCAUGAGAUCUCUGGAUGAAAGUGGGGGACCGCAAGGCCUCACGCUACUGGAGCGGCCGAUAUCAGAUUAGGUUGUUGGUGGGGUAACGGCCCACCAAGGCGACGAUGGGUAGCCGGCCUGAGAGGGUGACCGGCCACAUUGGGACUGAGAUACGGCCCAGACUCCUACGGGAGGCAGCAGUUAAGAAUCUUGCGCAAUGGGGGAAACCCUGACGCAGCGACGCCGCGUGGACGAUGAAGGCCUUCGGGUUGUAAAGUCCAAUAAGCAGGGAAGAAUAAGCAACGGGUAAUAUUCGUUGUGAUGACGGUACCUGCCUAAAGCCCCGGCUAACUACGUGCCAGCAGCCGCGGUAAUACGUAUGGGGCUAGCGUUGUUCGGAAUUAUUGGGCGUAAAGGGCGUCUAGGCGGGGGAUUAAGUUGGGUGUGAAAUCCCUGGGCUCAACCCAGGAACUGCAUCCAAAACUGGUUCUCUUGAGUUCGGGAGAGGAGAGCGGAAUUCCCGGUGUAGCGGUGAAAUGCGUAGAUAUCGGGAAGAACACCAGUGGCGAAGGCGGCUCUCUGGCCUAGAACUGACGCUGAAGCGCGAAAGCGUGGGGGGCGAACGGGAUUAGAUACCCCGGUAGUCCACGCUGUAAACGUUGUGUACUAGGUGUUAGUGACUUGUUCACUAGUGCCGACGCUAACGCAUUAAGUACACCGCCUGGGGAGUACGGCC
This 875-nucleotide ribosomal RNA is filed under the name uncultured bacterium. RNAcentral describes it as "bacterial SSU rRNA". It matches the Rfam family "Bacterial small subunit ribosomal RNA", at positions 9 to 887 of the family's 1533-position model. The record is from RNAcentral.